ACUCUGUCACUAAGCCACCUCAUACCAUUUAGGUUUUAUAACAUUGGUCAGAAGUGCUUAGUCAAAUAUUUUGAGAGCAUUUUUUCAAGUCUGCUCAGCCAAGAGAAUUCUUAAAUGAGGAUUGGUAGAGGGGCUGAAGCAGGUGUGGAGGGGCCAUAGCUGUCAUGAGAGAGAAGCUGCCUGGUCAGAGACUAGAAAUGUCCCCCUUUCUGGUGGCAGCAUCCUGAGUCAGGUGAGAAGGAUGCUUAACCCAAGAUGACAGGACUCAUGCAACUGAGGGCUACCUGGAGAGCUACUCAGCACUUUAACGUGUCUUAUGGGGGAAAAUUCAUCUCCCUGUGUAUUAAAAGUGAUCAAACGGGAAAAAGUAAGUGAGUAAUGAUGUUUGAAGCUGUGAAGUAGAAUGUUCUGAACUAUGGGAAGAAAGCUCAUAUAACCUUUAAGCCAGUCUCCUCUCUACUGCUUGGCAAAGUGUUAAAGACAUUUUUUUUUUUUUUUUCUUUUCCAAGGACUUUUACAAGUGGAUUGAUGUUUGACUAAAUCAGACUCUGGACUGUGCUGCCAAUUUUCACUGCCUACUCACUGUGGGGGCUGUGGAGUAAUUCUAACAAAAAAGACUGUCUACUAAAAAUGGAAGAAGCAGAGGUAUUGAGAAACAAGAUUCGAAUCCAAAGCCAGCACUCUGAACUGCGCUGUAAGACUGCAAGGACAAAGAAAACGGCCACUAUAUGCCAGAAUCACUGGGUUUCCAAGAGUUAUUACUGUCUUCCCCUUCCAUAGCAGGGUUCUGCUUUCAUCAUCCAUGCUGGGGUUUGAUCUGACGUUGACCUAUAAAUAUAGUAACCUCACUCUAUUCUACCUUAUUGUGUGUACCACCAGGCACAUGGUAUGGAUGAAAGACAUCUCUUAAAUGUAUGGAUCAAUGCAUGAGGGAGUAGUCUGUCUUUGACACUGAGAUAACCUUUGGCGUUGUUCCUACAGUCGGUGUGAGGUAGUGUGGGGGUUAGUGACACACACUGGACAUACAAACGUUAGGGGAAGACUUGCCUCCAGCACAGGGGGACUUGCUCAUCUAUGCUGCCUUACAAUGAUCUCACACUCUUCUAACUCUAGGCUCUGCUUAUGACAGAAGAAUACAUGAAAGUAAUUUAGCAUCUUGUGUUUUCACUCUACUGUCACUGUGGAAGAAGAUAAUGACUGCAAUUUCAGAUUCUUAGAACUAGUUACAGAGAAAAUGUUUCUUCCUCUAAAUGAUGCUGCUCCUACCAUGUACUGUGGGGGGUGGGGGGGGGAGUAUAACUGAGAAUGUCUUCUGUGAAGGAAAAUUUUGCAACAUAUAACAAAAUUGCAAGUGCACAGAUCUUUUGAUCUAGAAAUUCUACUUCAAAUAAUUUAUUUUACAGAGAAAUUUACAUGUGUGAAAUGGUAAUAUUUUUGAGAACAGAAGAGUAGAAACAACUCAAUUGCUCAUCAGGAAGAGGCUGGUUAAAUAAAUUAUGGUAUAUCAAUCCUUAUAAGUGAAUA
Molecule: long non-coding RNA, 1524 nt
Filed under: Felis catus (domestic cat)
Lineage: Eukaryota; Metazoa; Chordata; Mammalia; Carnivora; Felidae
Description: lncRNA (ENSFCAG00000041867.2)
Source: RNAcentral